CCUACGGGAGGCUGCAGUGGGGAAUAUUGCACAAUGGGCGCAAGCCUGAUGCAGCGACGCCGCGUGAGCGAUGAAGGCCUUCGGGUCGUAAAGCUCUGUCCUAAGGGAAGAAUAAUGACGGUACCUUAGGAGGACGCCCCGGCUAACUACGUGCCAGCAGCCGCAGUAAUACGUAGGGGGCGAGCGUUAUCCGGAAUCACUGGGCGUAAAGGGUGCGUAAGCGGCCAUGCAAUUCAGGUGUUAAAUCCCUCGGCUCAACCGAGGUUAGCUCUUGAAACUGUAGGGCUGGAGUGCAGGUGAGGAGAGCGGAAUUCCAAGUGUAGAGGUGAAAUGCGUAUAUAUUAGGAGGAACACCAGUGGCGAAGGCGGCUCUCUGGACUGCAACUGACGCUGAGGCACGAAAGCGUGGGGAGCGAACAGGAUUAGAUACCCCGGUAGUC
RNAcentral lists this ribosomal RNA (440 nucleotides) under uncultured bacterium. Its description in RNAcentral is "bacterial SSU rRNA". It matches the Rfam family "Bacterial small subunit ribosomal RNA", at positions 338 to 795 of the family's 1533-position model. The record is from RNAcentral.